UCCGCUUUACAGCGGCAGUUUGUUCCGAGUCCCCGACGUUACUCGCUGGUAACAGAACAUGAGGGUUGCGCUCGUUGCGGGACUUAACCCAACAUCUCACGACACGGGCUGACGACAGCCAUGCAGCACCUGUGUGUAGGUCCCGUAAGGGAAGGAAUCCAUCUCUGGAAGCCGUCCUACCAUGUCAAACGCUGGUAAGGUUCUGCGCGUUGCUUCGAAUUAAACCACAUGCUCCACCGCUUGUGCAGGCCCCCGUCAAUUUCUUUGAGUUUUAGUCUUGCGACCGUACUCCCCAGGCGGAGCACUUAAUGCGUUAGCUGCGUCGAAGCGGGGGUCUACACCCGCUCCAACUAGUGCUCAUCGUUUACAGCGUGGACUAC
This 380-nucleotide unclassified non-coding RNA is filed under the name uncultured Alphaproteobacteria bacterium. RNAcentral's name for it is "contains 16S-23S intergenic spacer region". Lineage: Bacteria; Pseudomonadati; Pseudomonadota; Alphaproteobacteria. The record is from RNAcentral.